AUUAACUCAUCCUCAAGUAAUCAAACAUACCAGUAAUACCCAAUAAUCACCCAAAUUGAGGGGGAAAAAAUAAUUUUUUUUUAAUAUGGACAAUGCCUCGAAUUAGUCAAGAAAUUCCUCUGUGAAUUUAAAAUUCAAGUUUCUAAUAAGACAAGAAAGCAAGCAAGCAAACAAAAUGGAAAAGAAAUUAAAUUUAAAACCAAUAAUAACUUUUUGAAAGUAGAAUACAUAGUGGAGCUCUUGGUCAUUAGUAACCCAACCUUGACCGGCACCUAAAGCGGUGUACUUAGAGACGACGUGCUGCGACUAAGCAAGCUGAGCAUAAAUCCUUGGCAGCUGAUCCACCGACGUGUCGACCCUCAAGUAAGCCACGUGUGCUGAGAGUAGCUGCUCGUACAACGAAUGCGAACAAUAUCUCCGCCUCGCACCUCGCAUUCUGCCAGUUCACAGCUCUGUCGGCGCCGCUCUCAACCACCACUUCUUCGCGCUUGUUAUUAGUAUUGGCCUUGUUCAUGUUCUGACUGGUGGUGUUCUUCAAAUCGGCGGAUUCAACGACGGCGAUGAUGAAGUCGUUGGUAGGAGUGACGUGGUCGAUGAGUGGGCAUUAUUUGUUUUGGACUGAAGUUGAAUGGUAAAGUGAAGAUGGGUUUGAUAAAGUGAAGGUGCGGUGUCAUUUAUUUCACUCGAUUUCAAGCUUUGUAUAAUUGUGCAUUCUGAAUACACAUUGAUUUGUUUAAUCAAUCACUGUCAAUUAGCUUUUUUAAGAUUUAAAAAUUAUAAACUUUUGCAAUUACAAAAUUAUCCCCGUUUACUAAACGGCUCCCUAACGUUUUUACACGUCUAGGGGUGCUAUAUGUCAAUAUAUGCAUACAUUCUAUCUAAGUGUAGUAAGACCAAACCUCAAGGGAGGUAUCCAAAAAUUACCCAUUUGGAAAUCAACCGCAAACAUUGGACAAUUCAAAAUAUUUAUGAGAAAUAAUAAAAUGAAUACAAAAGGAAUAUUCUUAUCUUUUUUUUUCUCUAAAAUAUGACAUCUAAUCCUAAAAUCAUUUUAUUCUUUUAACAUUAGGAUGACAUUUAGUCAUAAUUUUAAUGCAUUAUCCUUACCACUAGCUUCCACUAUAUAAACAGCUCAUUCAACCAAUAUAAGGGGACUUUUCCCUUCACUUCUCUCUCUCUCUCUCUCUCUGGGCAUAUUUUUACAUCAUCGCCCACUUCUCCAUUUUUGGGAGAUAAUUUUCUAUUCUCCACCUUGAUCAUCUUCUCUACCAUAUUAUUACCUUCCACAUAUUUAUACAUCAUCUUCAUCUUCAUCAACACCAAACAUCUCUACAUAGCUAUCUAGUUUGUGUUAAUCAUAUUUAUUUAAAUUAUAUUAUUAUAUUAUUUAAUAAUAUUACAUUUAUUAAAAAUAAUAAUAUUAAAAUUAUUUAAAAAUAAUAUUAUUAUAUUCAUAGAGAAUUAAUAAUAUUACCAUNNNNNNNNNNNNNNNUGUUUCAUUUACUGCUGUACCGUACAUCCGCCUUGGCCGUACAGCAGUAAAAUUAAUAAUAAAAUAAAUAAUUUAUUUUACAAAUAUAAUUUUUUAUUCACUUUGCAAUUAAAAACUAUAAUUUUUUAAAUAAAGGUAAAAUUACAAUUUUAAACAAUUCAUUCCCAAUCUAAGACUAUACAUAAACGAGAUUCUGAUUUCUAUUCUACACUCCUAUUCUAAUGUAAGUAAACAACCUGCUUUCACUCCACUCCACACUCCCAGUGUUAGGAUUUUCACUCUAAUUUGAGAAGUCAAUGUUACCUAAGAGUAAAAAUUCAGAGAAUCAGACUUGUAUAAAUAUGAGUUAGAAAAUUAGGUUGUUGGGAUAAGUUGUUAAUAGUUAUAUCAUGUAUUUCUUUAAGGGGUGGGGAGACUUAUCACAUUCUCCACCCCAUUAAAAAUUUCACCUUCAUUCCCCAUCUCAUUCUCUAAUAAAUUCAAUAGGGGUGGAGAUGGGAAAUCCCCACAUGAGGAAUGAUUUCUUCAUCCUUACCUCAUUCUCCAUUCAUUUAUUUUAUAGUAAAUAUAGACAAAAAAAUUUCAAUAAAUUAAAAAUUAAAGACUUAAAUAAAAUCAUUAUCACAUUAUAAAGUAUUUAAAUUAUUUAAGAAAAUCUCCAAAUAUUUGAAAUGAUAUCAAAAUUAAACAAUCUUUGAAGAGAACAGCAUCUUAAGAGAGAAAAGAAAACAUAACAAUAUUUUAGGAUUAAAUAAAAAUUAUACUGUAGGGUUUUCUUUUAGUUAUAGCCCAUCUAUAUCAAGUAAAAAUAAAAGAAAAAUUUAUUAACUAACAUUGCAUUGAUAAAACAACAAUUAUUAAAUAAAAAUUAGAAAAAUAUUUAUAUAUAAUAGGGAUGGGGACAAGGUGGGGAGUAUAAAACCAAACCCCACCUUGUUAAGAAUUUAGGAAUUAUUUUUCUCUCAUUCCCCAAAAUUUACCUCAUUUGGUGUGGGGGCCCCAAACCCAUUGAGGAUUUUGCCAUCCCUACUUCGAGGUGUAUUUAAAUUAUUGUUUUUGUCAAGAUAAGUAACUUAAUUCCUAAUAUACUGGUUAUAUAUGAUUAUUUUGAUACUAUUAUAAUUACAUAAGUUUUAUAGUUACUUUAUGUAAUUGUUUAUUCCAAUGUCUUUAAAUCUAAAAAUUAUAUUCUAUGGUUUUAAUAAAUAUAUUAAAUGCCUUUUAUAUGUGUUAAUCGUUUUAUUUAAUGAUUGUCUUUUAUGAAUUAGACUUUAAUAAAUUAAAGUGUAGAAUACGUUGCAAGCCAUUAUGAUACUUAAAUAAUUUUAUUUUGUAUUCAAUAUAAAUGUCUUAUUUGCUUUUAUGAAUACAAUUAAAUAUUUGACUUAUUAUCCAUAAUUAUUUUGAUUCUGACUUUGAUUGUAUUAUACGAUAUAUAUGUUCUAUACCAGUGAAAUAUAUUACUAAAUGCCUUUUAUAUGUGUUAAUCAUUUUAUUUAAUGACUAUCUUUUAUUUGCAUUUAUAUGCGUUUCUAUUUUGAGUGUGCACAUGAUAUUCUAAUUAUAAUUCUGUUUCUAAUCGGAUCACUGAGAGUAUAAAUGACACCAAGUGACAUGAGAUAACAUUUUGUUUUCUGUGUGUAUAUGUUAUACGAUUUGUUUUCAUAAUUAAUUAUACUUUUGAUAUUCUGAAUUAUUUAUGGAUUUAUAUCCUUCUAUUGUAAUAUGUCAUUUUGUAAAACUUAUAUUUCUAAUAUAUGUUUUGAUAAAAAAAAAAUUGCAAUACUUUUGGUACCCAAUAACCUAACCGUGUUGGAAAUAGUUUUACUUACCGAGUUUAUGACUCACCCGUUGUCAUUACUUUUUUGUAGAUUGAGUAAUUUGUUGAGAGAUUUGCUUAUCUUUGAAGUUAGAAAUUUAUCUCUUUUUGCUAUUUGAAUAAGAGAAUGAUGAACUUUUGUUUCAUUUAAGUUUGUUUAUCUUCUAAACUUCUAAUUGGAAAGUUUUGAGACUUUUGUUAUAUUUAUGGUUUUGGGAAAAAAAUAUUUAGUAUUGGGCUUGUGGAUUUGUGGAUUUAUUUGAAUAAAAUUUGAGAUAUUUCAAUUUAAGGUUCUUGUGUAAAAAUUAUGAUUUGUAAGUAAUCUCUUUUACCAUGUGUUAGAUUUGGAAUGUUACAACUUCUAUCUAUAUCUAUAUAUAGAUUUAUAUAUGUUGUUUAUAAUGGAAAGAUGGAUAGAAGUUUCGACUUACAGUUGACUUGUAUGGUAAGAUUUUAGGCUAAUUAUGGUUUCUUUAGUUUAGAAGACUCAUGUCUUUAUAUAUAUAUAGCUAGGAUGCCAGCUUCUUUAGAGUAUCUCCAAAAAGCUCUAUUAAUUUCAUUUUUCAAAUAUCUAUUUGCUUACUUAUGUGGCAAAAGGGAGAGUAAAAAAUAUAUUAUUCCCUAAAAGACUCUUCAAAUAAAAAUAAAUUAAUAUUAUUUUAAUCAAAUAAAUAUUUCUUCAAAGGAAAAAUAAAUAAUAAUUAAAGUAUUUCUCUUUCUCUAAUAAAAAGUAAUAAAAUAUAAAAUAAAGAAGGAUAAAGUAACUGUAUAAAAUUGAAGAUAAAAAAUCUUAAUUGGAGUGUCUUUAGGAGUCUUAAAUAUAUAUAUGACUCUUCAAAUAAGUAAUAAAAUUUUAUUUGAAAAAUCUUUUGGAGAUGCUUUAAGAUCAUUAAUAAUAACAAUUAAUGAAUCGCAUUGUGUCCAUAGAUCAAGCGGCACGGGUAUUAGAGAUAUAUAGCGAUCAUCCUUUACAUUCGAUCAACAUGUAUACUGCAGG
RNAcentral lists this long non-coding RNA (4308 nucleotides) under Citrus sinensis (sweet orange). RNAcentral's name for it is "long non-coding RNA (CSIN_LNC003697)". Lineage: Eukaryota; Viridiplantae; Streptophyta; Magnoliopsida; Sapindales; Rutaceae. The record is from RNAcentral.